AACGAACGCUGGCGGCAUGCCUAACACAUGCAAGUCGAACGAGACCUUCGGGUCUAGUGGCGCACGGGUGCGUAACGCGUGGGAACCUGCCCUUAGGUUCGGAAUAACUCCCCGAAAGGGGUGCUAAUACCGGAUAAUGUCUUCGGACCAAAGAUUUAUCGCCUUUGGAUGGGCCCGCGUUGGAUUAGCUAGUUGGUAGGGUAAAAGCCUACCAAGGCGACGAUCCAUAGCCGGUCUGAGAGGAUGAUCAGCCACACUGGGACUGAGACACGGCCCAGACUCCUACGGGAGGCAGCAGUGGGGAAUAUUGGACAAUGGGCGAAAGCCUGAUCCAGCAAUGCCGCGUGAGUGAUGAAGGCCUUAGGGUUGUAAAGCUCUUUUACCCGGGAUGAUAAGGACAGGACCGGGAGAAUAAGCUCCGGCGAACUCCGG
Molecule: ribosomal RNA, 432 nt
Filed under: uncultured bacterium
Lineage: Bacteria
Description: partial 16S ribosomal RNA
Rfam family: Bacterial small subunit ribosomal RNA
Source: RNAcentral